GGGGAUGUAGCUCAGUGGUAGAGCGCGUGCUUCGCAUGUACGAGGCCCUGGGUUCAAAUCCCAGUAUCUCCA
Molecule: non-coding RNA, 72 nt
Organism: Branchiostoma belcheri (Belcher's lancelet)
Lineage: Eukaryota; Metazoa; Chordata; Leptocardii; Amphioxiformes; Branchiostomatidae
Source: the annotation of a RefSeq genome assembly